RNAcentral lists this ribosomal RNA (494 nucleotides) under uncultured bacterium. RNAcentral's name for it is "partial 16S ribosomal RNA". It matches the Rfam family "Bacterial small subunit ribosomal RNA", at positions 28 to 507 of the family's 1533-position model. The record is from RNAcentral.
GACGAACGCUGGCGGCGUGCUUAACACAUGCGAGUCGAACGGAAAGGCCUGCUUUCCCUUGUGGAUUGCGGGUACUCGAGUGGCGAACGGGUGAGUAACACGUGAGUGAUCUGCCCCCAACUUGGGUAUAAGCCUGGGAAACUGGGUCUAAUUCCCGAUAGGACUGCAGGGUGGUGCCUGUGGUGGAAAACGAUUUUCUAGUGGUUGGGGAUGAGCUCGCGGCCUAUCAGCUUGUUGGUGGGGUAAUGGCCUACCAAGGCGGCGACGGGUAGCCGGCCUGAGAGGGUGGACGGCCACAUUGGGACUGAGGUACGGCCCAGACUCCUACGGGAGGCAGCAGUGGGGAAUAUUGCACAAUGGGCGGAAGCCUGAUGCAGCGACGCCGCGGGGGGGAUGACGGCCUUCGGGUUGUAAACUCCUUUCGACCGCGAGGAAGCCACCUGGUUGGAAGGGUGGUGACGGUAGUGGUAGAAGAAGCACCGGCUAACUACGUG